UGAAGCUGGAAUCGCUAGUAAUCGCGAAUCAGAAUGUCGCGGUGAAUACGUUCCCGGGUCUUGUACACACCGCCCGUCACACCAUGGGAGUCGGAAAUGCCCGAAGUCAGUGACCUAACCGAAAGGGAGGAGCUGCCGAAGGUGGAGCCGGUAACCGGGGUGAAGUCGUAACAAGGUAAC
This 180-nucleotide ribosomal RNA is filed under the name uncultured bacterium. RNAcentral's name for it is "partial 16S ribosomal RNA". It matches the Rfam family "Bacterial small subunit ribosomal RNA", at positions 1321 to 1500 of the family's 1533-position model. The record is from RNAcentral.